GAUGAACGCUAGCGGGAGGCCUAAUACAUGCAAGUCGAACGGUAAGGCUCCUUCGGGAGUACACGAGUGGCGGACGGGUGCGUAACGCGUACGAAAUAUACCUUUAACAGGGGGAUACCUCCGGGAAACUGGAAAUAAUACCCCAUAGUAUUACGAUAUCGCAUGAUAUUGUAAUUAAAGCUCCGGCGGUUAGAGAUUAUCGUGCGUCUGAUUAGUUAGUUGGUGAGGUAACGGCUCACCAAGGCAACGAUCAGUAGCUGGUCUGAGAGGAUGAUCAGCCACACUGGAACUGAGACACGGUCCAG
This 305-nucleotide ribosomal RNA is filed under the name uncultured bacterium. Its description in RNAcentral is "bacterial SSU rRNA". It matches the Rfam family "Bacterial small subunit ribosomal RNA", at positions 28 to 334 of the family's 1533-position model. The record is from RNAcentral.